This 253-nucleotide ribosomal RNA is filed under the name uncultured bacterium. RNAcentral's name for it is "partial 16S ribosomal RNA". It matches the Rfam family "Bacterial small subunit ribosomal RNA", at positions 524 to 776 of the family's 1533-position model. The record is from RNAcentral.
UACGUAGGGAGCAAGCGUUGUCCGGAAUCAUUGGGCGUAAAGCGCGCGUAGGUGGCCUCAUAAGUCCGCUGUGAAAGUCCAAGGCUCAACCUUGGAAAGCCGGUGGAUACUGUGAGGCUAGAGUACGGAAGAGGCGAGUGGAAUUCCUGGUGUAGCGGUGGAAUGCGCAGAUAUCAGGAGGAACACCAAUAGCGAAGGCAGCUCGCUGGGACGUUACUGACACUAAGGCGCGAAAGCGUCGGGAGCGAACAGG